AAAUGAAUAGACGGGGAGCCGCACAAGCAGAGGAGGAUGUGGUUUAAUUCGAGGCUAAGCGAAGAACCUUACCAAGGCUUGACAUCCUGGGAAUCUCAGCGAAAGCAGAGAGUGCCUUCGGGAAUCCAGUGACAGGUGCUGCAUGGCCGUCGUCAGCUCGUGUCGUGAGAUGUUGGGUUAAGUCCCGCAACGAGCGCAACCCCUAUCGUUUGUUGAAUUUUCAAACGAGACUGCCCGGGACAACCGGGAGGAAGGUGGGGAUGACGUCUGGUCAGCAUGGCCCUUACGCCUUGGGCUACACACGUCCUACAAUGGCCACUACAACGCGUUGCCAAAUCGCAAGAUGGAGCUAAUCGCAUCAAAAGUGGUCUCAGUUCGGAUUGAGGGCUGAAACUCGCCCUCAUGAAGCCGGAUUUGCUAGUAAUGGUGGAUCAGCCACGCCGCCGUGAAUACGUUCCCGGCUCUUGUACACACCGCCCGU
RNAcentral lists this ribosomal RNA (481 nucleotides) under uncultured bacterium. RNAcentral describes it as "bacterial SSU rRNA". It matches the Rfam family "Bacterial small subunit ribosomal RNA", at positions 903 to 1397 of the family's 1533-position model. The record is from RNAcentral.